CAAAAGCGUAUAUUAAAGUUGUUGCAGUUAAAAAGCUCGUAGUUGAACCUUGGGCUUGGCUGGCCGGUCCAUCUUUUUUGAUGCGUACUGGACCCAGCCGAGCCUUUCCUUCUGGCUAGCCUUUUGGCGAACCAGGACUUUUACUUUGAAAAAAUUAGAGUGUUCAAAGCAGGCCUUUGCUCGAACAUAUUAGCAUGGAAUAAUAGAAUAGGACGUUAUGGUUCUAUUUUGUUGGUUUCUAGGACCAUCGUAAUGAUUAAUAGGGACGGUCGGGGGUAUCAGUAUUCAGUUGUCAGAGGUGAAAUUCUUGGAUUUACUGAAGACUAACUACUGCGAAAGCAUUUACCAAGGACGUUUUCAUUAA
Molecule: ribosomal RNA, 364 nt
Filed under: uncultured eukaryote
Lineage: Eukaryota
Description: partial 18S ribosomal RNA
Rfam family: Eukaryotic small subunit ribosomal RNA
Source: RNAcentral